Molecule: ribosomal RNA, 368 nt
Filed under: uncultured organism
Description: bacterial SSU rRNA
Rfam family: Bacterial small subunit ribosomal RNA
Source: RNAcentral
CGAAGGACCCGGGCGUUAUCCGGAUUUAUUGGGUUUAAAGGGUGCGUAGGCGUCCUGGAAAGUUACGGUUGAAAUCUCCUUGCUCAACAAGGAAACUGGCCGUAAAACUAUCAGGAUUGAGUACAUUUGAAGCGGGCGGAAUGUGUCAUGUAGCGGUGAAAUGCUUAGAUAUGACACAGAACACCAAUUGCGAAGGCAGCUCGCUAAACUGUAACUGACGCUGAGGCACGAAAGCGUGGGGAUCAAACAGGAUUAGAUACCCUGGUAGUCCACGCCCUAAACGAUGAUUACUCGAUGUGUGCGAUACACUGUACGCGUCUGAGCGAAAGCAUUAAGUAAUCCACCUGGGGAGUACGAUCGCAAGAUUG